This 485-nucleotide ribosomal RNA is filed under the name uncultured bacterium. RNAcentral's name for it is "partial 16S ribosomal RNA". It matches the Rfam family "Bacterial small subunit ribosomal RNA", at positions 29 to 523 of the family's 1533-position model. The record is from RNAcentral.
AGUGAACGCUGGCGGCGUGCUUAACACAUGCAAGUCGAACGAGAACGGAAUAUAGCUUGCUAUAUUUGUCAGCUAAGUGGCGCACGGGUGAGUAAUGUAUAGAUAACCUGCCCUUAAGAAAGGAAUAACAGUUGGAAACGACUGCUAAUGCCCUAUAUGCCUUUAAUACAUAAGUAUGCAAGGGAAACGCUUUAGUGCUUAAGGAUGGGUCUGUAUGGUAUCAGCUUGUUGGUGAGGUAAUGGCUCACCAAGGCUAUGACGCCUAACUGGUUUGGGAGGAUGAUCAGUCACACUGGAACUGAGACACGGUCCAGACUCCUACGGGAGGCAGCAGUGGGGAAUAUUGCACAAUGGACGAAAGUCUGAUGCAGCAACGCCGCGUGGAGGAUGACUCAUUUCGGUGCGUAAACUCCUUUUAUAUAGGAAGAUAAUGACGGUACUAUAUGAAUAAGCACCGGCUAACUCCGUGCCAGCAGCCGCGGUAA